This 2906-nucleotide ribosomal RNA is filed under the name Escherichia coli. RNAcentral describes it as "23S ribosomal RNA". It matches the Rfam family "Bacterial large subunit ribosomal RNA". The record is from RNAcentral. Lineage: Bacteria; Pseudomonadati; Pseudomonadota; Gammaproteobacteria; Enterobacterales; Enterobacteriaceae. RNAcentral also lists the same sequence under 1 other name.
GGUUAAGCGACUAAGCGUACACGGUGGAUGCCCUGGCAGUCAGAGGCGAUGAAGGACGUGCUAAUCUGCGAUAAGCGUCGGUAAGGUGAUAUGAACCGUUAUAACCGGCGAUUUCCGAAUGGGGAAACCCAGUGUGUUUCGACACACUAUCAUUAACUGAAUCCAUAGGUUAAUGAGGCGAACCGGGGGAACUGAAACAUCUAAGUACCCCGAGGAAAAGAAAUCAACCGAGAUUCCCCCAGUAGCGGCGAGCGAACGGGGAGCAGCCCAGAGCCUGAAUCAGUGUGUGUGUUAGUGGAAGCGUCUGGAAAGGCGCGCGAUACAGGGUGACAGCCCCGUACACAAAAAUGCACAUGCUGUGAGCUCGAUGAGUAGGGCGGGACACGUGGUAUCCUGUCUGAAUAUGGGGGGACCAUCCUCCAAGGCUAAAUACUCCUGACUGACCGAUAGUGAACCAGUACCGUGAGGGAAAGGCGAAAAGAACCCCGGCGAGGGGAGUGAAAAAGAACCUGAAACCGUGUACGUACAAGCAGUGGGAGCACGCUUAGGCGUGUGACUGCGUACCUUUUGUAUAAUGGGUCAGCGACUUAUAUUCUGUAGCAAGGUUAACCGAAUAGGGGAGCCGAAGGGAAACCGAGUCUUAACUGGGCGUUAAGUUGCAGGGUAUAGACCCGAAACCCGGUGAUCUAGCCAUGGGCAGGUUGAAGGUUGGGUAACACUAACUGGAGGACCGAACCGACUAAUGUUGAAAAAUUAGCGGAUGACUUGUGGCUGGGGGUGAAAGGCCAAUCAAACCGGGAGAUAGCUGGUUCUCCCCGAAAGCUAUUUAGGUAGCGCCUCGUGAAUUCAUCUCCGGGGGUAGAGCACUGUUUCGGCAAGGGGGUCAUCCCGACUUACCAACCCGAUGCAAACUGCGAAUACCGGAGAAUGUUAUCACGGGAGACACACGGCGGGUGCUAACGUCCGUCGUGAAGAGGGAAACAACCCAGACCGCCAGCUAAGGUCCCAAAGUCAUGGUUAAGUGGGAAACGAUGUGGGAAGGCCCAGACAGCCAGGAUGUUGGCUUAGAAGCAGCCAUCAUUUAAAGAAAGCGUAAUAGCUCACUGGUCGAGUCGGCCUGCGCGGAAGAUGUAACGGGGCUAAACCAUGCACCGAAGCUGCGGCAGCGACGCUUAUGCGUUGUUGGGUAGGGGAGCGUUCUGUAAGCCUGUGAAGGUGUGCUGUGAGGCAUGCUGGAGGUAUCAGAAGUGCGAAUGCUGACAUAAGUAACGAUAAAGCGGGUGAAAAGCCCGCUCGCCGGAAGACCAAGGGUUCCUGUCCAACGUUAAUCGGGGCAGGGUGAGUCGACCCCUAAGGCGAGGCCGAAAGGCGUAGUCGAUGGGAAACAGGUUAAUAUUCCUGUACUUGGUGUUACUGCGAAGGGGGGACGGAGAAGGCUAUGUUGGCCGGGCGACGGUUGUCCCGGUUUAAGCGUGUAGGCUGGUUUUCCAGGCAAAUCCGGAAAAUCAAGGCUGAGGCGUGAUGACGAGGCACUACGGUGCUGAAGCAACAAAUGCCCUGCUUCCAGGAAAAGCCUCUAAGCAUCAGGUAACAUCAAAUCGUACCCCAAACCGACACAGGUGGUCAGGUAGAGAAUACCAAGGCGCUUGAGAGAACUCGGGUGAAGGAACUAGGCAAAAUGGUGCCGUAACUUCGGGAGAAGGCACGCUGAUAUGUAGGUGAAGUCCCUCGCGGAUGGAGCUGAAAUCAGUCGAAGAUACCAGCUGGCUGCAACUGUUUAUUAAAAACACAGCACUGUGCAAACACGAAAGUGGACGUAUACGGUGUGACGCCUGCCCGGUGCCGGAAGGUUAAUUGAUGGGGUUAGCGGUAACGCGAAGCUCUUGAUCGAAGCCCCGGUAAACGGCGGCCGUAACUAUAACGGUCCUAAGGUAGCGAAAUUCCUUGUCGGGUAAGUUCCGACCUGCACGAAUGGCGUAAUGAUGGCCAGGCUGUCUCCACCCGAGACUCAGUGAAAUUGAACUCGCUGUGAAGAUGCAGUGUACCCGCGGCAAGACGGAAAGACCCCGUGAACCUUUACUAUAGCUUGACACUGAACAUUGAGCCUUGAUGUGUAGGAUAGGUGGGAGGCUUAGAAGUGUGGACGCCAGUCUGCAUGGAGCCGACCUUGAAAUACCACCCUUUAAUGUUUGAUGUUCUAACGUUGACCCGUAAUCCGGGUUGCGGACAGUGUCUGGUGGGUAGUUUGACUGGGGCGGUCUCCUCCUAAAGAGUAACGGAGGAGCACGAAGGUUGGCUAAUCCUGGUCGGACAUCAGGAGGUUAGUGCAAUGGCAUAAGCCAGCUUGACUGCGAGCGUGACGGCGCGAGCAGGUGCGAAAGCAGGUCAUAGUGAUCCGGUGGUUCUGAAUGGAAGGGCCAUCGCUCAACGGAUAAAAGGUACUCCGGGGAUAACAGGCUGAUACCGCCCAAGAGUUCAUAUCGACGGCGGUGUUUGGCACCUCGAUGUCGGCUCAUCACAUCCUGGGGCUGAAGUAGGUCCCAAGGGUAUGGCUGUUCGCCAUUUAAAGUGGUACGCGAGCUGGGUUUAGAACGUCGUGAGACAGUUCGGUCCCUAUCUGCCGUGGGCGCUGGAGAACUGAGGGGGGCUGCUCCUAGUACGAGAGGACCGGAGUGGACGCAUCACUGGUGUUCGGGUUGUCAUGCCAAUGGCACUGCCCGGUAGCUAAAUGCGGAAGAGAUAAGUGCUGAAAGCAUCUAAGCACGAAACUUGCCCCGAGAUGAGUUCUCCCUGACUCCUUGAGAGUCCUGAAGGAACGUUGAAGACGACGACGUUGAUAGGCCGGGUGUGUAAGCGCAGCGAUGCGUUGAGCUAACCGGUACUAAUGAACCGUGAGGCUUAACCUU